This 375-nucleotide long non-coding RNA is filed under the name Mytilus galloprovincialis (Mediterranean mussel). The record is from RNAcentral. Lineage: Eukaryota; Metazoa; Mollusca; Bivalvia; Mytilida; Mytilidae.
AUAAGAUGGUAAGUAUUUCCGAUAUUUUGCAGCAGAAAACUUGUAGUUUCUCAGGGAAAUAUGUAUUUUAUGGUUUCCCUUGGAAAAUAAAUAGACGUCAACAUUGCAGGGUCAGCUGCGUCUAAAAAACAAGAGGGACGACAGAUACCAGAAGGAGAGUCAAACUCAUAGAUAGAAAAUAAACUGACAACGCCAUUGCUAAAAAUAAACUGACAACGCCAUGCUAAAAAUAAAAAUAGAAACAGACAAAUAAUAUUACAGAAGACACAACAUAGAAAACUAAAGACUUAGCAACACAAACCCCAUCAAAAACUAGGGGUGAUCUCAGGUGCUCCGGAAGUAUAAGCAGAUCCUACUCCACAUGUUGCAACCGUC